RNAcentral lists this ribosomal RNA (253 nucleotides) under uncultured bacterium. RNAcentral's name for it is "partial 16S ribosomal RNA". It matches the Rfam family "Bacterial small subunit ribosomal RNA", at positions 524 to 776 of the family's 1533-position model. The record is from RNAcentral.
UACGAAGGGUGCAAGCGUUACUCGGAAUUACUGGGCGUAAAGGGUGCGUAGGUGGUUUGUUAAGUCUGCUGUGAAAUCCCCGGGCUCAACCUGGGAAUGGCAGUGGAUACUGGCAAGCUAGAGUGCGGUAGAGGGUAGUGGAAUUCCCGGUGUAGCAGUGAAAUGCGUAGAGAUCGGGAGGAACACCAGUGGCGAAGGCGGCUACCUGGACCAGCACUGACACUAAAGCACGAAAGCGUGGGGAGCAAACAGG